GAGUGAUCUAGCCAUGAGCAGGUUGAAGGUGCGGUAACACGUACUGGAGGACCGAACCCACUUAUGUUGAAAAAUGAGGGGAUGACCUGUGACUAGGGGUGAAAGGCCAAUCAAACUCGGAAAUAGCUCGUACUCCCCGAAAUGCAUUUAGGUGCAGCGUUGGUUAAAAGUUUUAUAGAGGUAGAGCUACUGAUUGGAUGCGGGGGCUUCACCGCCUACCAAUUCCUGACAAACUCCGAAUGCUAUAAAAUGAUGCACAGCAGUGAGGGCAUGGGUGCUAAGGUCCAUGUCCGAGAGGGAAAGAACCCAGACCAUCAGCUAAGGUCCCAAAAUAUAUGUUAAGUUGAAUAAACGAGGUUGGAUUGCACAGACAGCUAGGAUGUUGGCUUGGAAGCAGCCAUUCAUUUAAAGAGUGCGUAACAGCUCACUGGUCGAGCGGUCCCGCAUGGAUAAUGAUCGGGCAUAAGCACAUUACCGAAGCUAUGGCAUCGAAAGAUGGGUAGGGGAGCAUUCUGUUCGGCGCCGAAGGUGCACUGUGAGGUGUGCUGGAGCGUACAGAAACGAAAAUGUAGGCAUAAGUAACGAUAAUGCGGGCGAGAAACCCGCACACCGAAAGACUAAGGUUUCCUCAGCGAUGCUAAUCAGCUGAGGGUUAGUCGGGACCUAACGCGAACCCGAAAGGGGUAGUGGAUGGACAACAGGUUAAUAUUCCUGUACCUGCUCACACUAAACGUGACGGAGGCGAAAAGUUAGUGCGCACAGACGGAAUUGUGCGUUAAAGAGAGUGGUAACACCUUGAUAGUACACUAAGACUACGGUCGCGGUGAUAAUCUAGCGAAUCGACUUCCAAGAAAAGCGAGUGAAGCAGCCCGUACCCUAAACCGACACAGGUAGUUGGGAUGAGAAUUCUAAGGUGCUCGAGAGAUUCAUGGCUAAGGAACUAGGCAAAAUAGACCUGUAACUUCGGGAGAAAGGUCGCCACCCUUUGGGGUGGCCGCAGUGAAAAGGUCCAGGCGACUGUUUAUCAAAAACACAGGGCUUUGCUAAAUUGAAAGAUGAUGUAUAAGGCCUGACACCUGCCCGGUGCUGGAAGGUUAAGUGGAGGGCUUAGAGAUUUAUCUCGAAGGUCUGAAAUGAAGCCCCAGUAAACGGCGGCCGUAACGAUAACGGUCCUAAGGUAGCGAAA
RNAcentral lists this ribosomal RNA (1186 nucleotides) under Oxyrrhis marina. RNAcentral describes it as "partial Bacterial large subunit ribosomal RNA". It matches the Rfam family "Bacterial large subunit ribosomal RNA", at positions 723 to 1964 of the family's 2925-position model. The record is from RNAcentral. Lineage: Eukaryota; Dinophyceae; Oxyrrhinales; Oxyrrhinaceae.